RNAcentral lists this non-coding RNA (89 nucleotides) under Paraburkholderia caribensis. Lineage: Bacteria; Pseudomonadati; Pseudomonadota; Betaproteobacteria; Burkholderiales; Burkholderiaceae. The record is from RNAcentral.
GUCUAUGGGCGGGCCGUGGUAGGGGAGCCGCGAGGCUCGCCGGUGUGCGAUUCCGGUCUUCCAACCUUGUCAUGUGCCCGCUCACCCGU